Molecule: ribosomal RNA, 253 nt
Filed under: uncultured prokaryote
Description: partial 16S ribosomal RNA
Rfam family: Bacterial small subunit ribosomal RNA
Source: RNAcentral
ACGGAGGGUGCGAGCGUUGUCCGGAAUCACUGGGCGUAAAGGGCGCGUAGGCGGCCGUGUAAGUCACUUGUGAAAUCCCGGGGCUCAACUCCGGGGCCGCAGGUGAGACUGCGUGGCUAGAGCACGGUAGAGGCGAGUGGAAUUCCCGGUGUAGCGGUGGAAUGCGUAGAUAUCGGGAAGAACACCGGUGGCGAAGGCGGCUCGCUGGGCCGUUGCUGACGCUGAGGCGCGAAAGCGUGGGGAGCAAACAGGA